Molecule: small RNA, 285 nt
Filed under: Arabidopsis thaliana (thale cress)
Lineage: Eukaryota; Viridiplantae; Streptophyta; Magnoliopsida; Brassicales; Brassicaceae
Description: ATSL058950
Source: RNAcentral
AACAGAUUUUACUUUAAGUCAUCAACAAAACUAACAACUUGGCCGGUCCUAAAGUUUUAUGGGUUUUAGUCAAUAAUAAAACAUAACCAAGUAUCGUUAAUUAUAUCAACUUGUUAAGAUUCUAGGCGAAGCUUAGAGUUCGCUGGUUCGAAUUAUUAAGACUCUAAACGAAGCUUAGAGUUCGCUGGUUCGAAUGAUGCUUGUGACGAAACUAAUAUUACAUGCUUUAAUUUCGAAUCUCGAAGGAUUAUGGAUUUCGGCGCAAAACCUCCUAGUAUUAAAAAA